Molecule: ribosomal RNA, 839 nt
Filed under: marine metagenome
Description: bacterial SSU rRNA
Rfam family: Bacterial small subunit ribosomal RNA
Source: RNAcentral
CUAGUGUAGAGGUGAAAUUCGUAGAUAUUAGAAAGAAUACCAAUUGCGAAGGCAGCUUUCUGGAUCAUUACUGACACUGAGGAACGAAAGCAUGGGUAGCGAAGAGGAUUAGAUACCCUCGUAGUCCAUGCCGUAAACGAUGUGUGUUAGACGUUGGAAAUUUAUUUUCAGUGUCGCAGCGAAAGCGAUAAACACACCGCCUGGGGAGUACGACCGCAAGGUUAAAACUCAAAUGAAUUGACGGGGACCCGCACAAGUAGUGGAGCAUGUGGUUUAAUUCGAAGAUACGCGCAGAACCUUACCAACACUUGACAUGUUCGUCGCGACUCUAAGAGAUUAGAGUUUUCGGUUCGGCCGGACGAAACACAGGUGCUGCAUGGCUGUCGUCAGCUCGUGUCGUGAGAUGUUGGGUUAAGUCCCGCAACGAGCGCAACCCUCACUUUUAGUUGCCAUCAUUUAGUUGGGCACUCUGAAAGAACUGCCAGUGAUAAGCUGGAGGAAGGUGGGGAUGACGUCAAGUCCUCAUGGCCCUUACGUGUUGGGCUACACACGUGCUACAAUGGUAUCUACAACAGGAAGCAAGACUGCGAGGUCAAGCAAAUCCUUAAAAGAUACCUCAGUUCGGAUUGCACUCUGCAACUCGAGUGCAUGAAGCUGGAAUUACUAGUAAUCGUGGAUCAGCGUGCCACGGUGAAUGCGUUCCCGGGUCUUGUACACACCGCCCGUCACACCAUGGGAGUUGGUUCUACCUUAAGGCAAGGUUUAAAACCCUUGACCACGGUAUAGUCAGCGACUGGGGUGAAGUCGUAACAAGGUAGCCGUAGGGGAACCUGCGGCUG